Molecule: ribosomal RNA, 508 nt
Filed under: uncultured bacterium
Lineage: Bacteria
Description: bacterial SSU rRNA
Rfam family: Bacterial small subunit ribosomal RNA
Source: RNAcentral
UAGUCCACGCCGUAAACGAUGAGCACUAGAUUUUGGGGGUAUUGACCCCUUCAGAAUCGCAGCUAACGCAUUAAGUGCUCCGCCUGGGGAGUACGGUCGCAAGACUAAAACUCAAAGGAAUUGACGGGGGCCCGCACAAGCGGUGGAUUAUGUGGUUUAAUUCGAAGCAACGCGCAAAACCUUACCUGGGCUUGAACUCCUGAGAACGGAAAGUAAUUUUUCCGGUGCCCUUCGGGGAAUUCAGUGAGAGGUGCUGUAUGGCUGUCGUCAGCUCGUGUUGUGAAAUGUUGGGUUAAGUCUCGCAACGAGCGCAACCCCUAUCUUUAGUUGCCAGCAUUAAGUUGGGCACUCUAGAGAGACUGCCUGGGUUAACCAGGAGGAAGGUGGGGAUGACGUCAAGUCCUCAUGGCCCUUAUGUCCAGGGCUACACACGUAAUACAAUGGUGCAUACAGAGGGACGCGAACCUGCGAGGGGGAGCAAAUCUCAAAAAAUGCAUCUCAGUCCGGA